Molecule: non-coding RNA, 40151 nt
Organism: Xyrichtys novacula (pearly razorfish)
Lineage: Eukaryota; Metazoa; Chordata; Actinopteri; Labriformes; Labridae
Source: the annotation of a GenBank genome assembly
GUGGUUUUUUGAGGCGCAUACUGGCAAAGACAGUAAGUUGAUGGUUUUCCUCUUUAUUUUAAAGAGUUUUGUAACAUCCAUGGAACACACUGAAAAUCUCAUUAGUCCCUUUUUAUGACAUUCAAAAGUAAACAAGACCAUCAGGAAGACCAAUGAUGAUUUUUAUAUCAGUUUUUGAUGCCUAACACUAGUGUUAGGGGAUAGGUGUUAGCUGAGCAGCUAAAGACACAUCCCUGUAUUCACAAUUAAUGAAACAUUUGACUGUCAAAAGCCAGCAAGAUUAAAUCUUUGACCAGAAAACACAGUUGAAGCAUAUACAGGCCAAGAAAGUCAAUGACUGAUUCAUCCCCAGGUGUGCCAAGUCAGAGAUCAGAAGUUUCUCACAGGAGCUUUAAGAUACAUUUGUUGCAACCUUUGUCCCAUAAAAACUUUCUGUUUUUAUUUUUUUUGUGACAGAUGUUUUAGCAAUGCACCAAGGUAUCAGGCUAAUCCACUUAAAACAUCUUUUUUAAUCCAUUUAUUUCAGGGUUUAAAAAAUAUAUGGUGUGUGGCUUGGUGGCUGUCUGGCAUGAGUCUGGUCCUACCCAAGGUUUCUGCCUGUUAGAAGGAAGGUUUUCCUUGCCACUGUUACUCAUGUUAGAUGAGACGGGCCAAAUCCCAUCUUGGGUUGGGUCUUGAUAAUUCAUCAAACAAUGAGCGUGGUCUAGACCUCUUCUCUUGUUCUUUGAAAAGCGUCUUGGGAUGACGACUGUUGUGAAUUGGCGCUAUAUGAAUAACAUUUGAUUUGAUUUGAUUUGAUUUGAUAUACAAUACAUGGCAGCCAGAUGUUAUUCUUGGAGCUGUGUGAUACAACCAGCACAUAAAUGCAUGGCACGUUUUAUAUUUUCAGGGCACCUACCUACUUGGCUCUUAAUGUGAGCAAUGUAAAUUUAAAGAAAACGAAGAUAUAGUUUCAUACAUCCUGUCAAAACAAACCAAAAUUGCAAAUGAAAAACUUUUUAUGAAUAUCAGGAUCAGUCAUGUCAAGCUCUUCAGAUUUUUCUUCAGUCUGGUCUGAUCAGGCAGCGAGACGAAAACAUUAACUGUAUACAGUUGUGCAACACUUGUGGAGACAUCAAAUCAGUAAAACAGUGAGGACUGAUGACUAAGCAAGCUCCACAAGCUAAAAAAGAGAACAAGAGGGUGACAAUAUAAUAUUUCAGCAAGCAUUAUUUUACUGCAUAAACAGCACAUCAAGUUUGCAAGCAGCAUUUUGAAAUAAUGUGAUAAAUCAAGAAUUUAAAUUCAAUAUCUUGCCAGCCCUUUCCUCUGCACAGAGAGAGAUGAAGAGAGACAGAGAGAGAAAGACACACGUUAAAAGAGAGAGAGAGAGUGAUGCCGCGGAAGCAUGUGAAACAACAGCCGGCAAAGAGAAUAGGAGCAGACACAUUAUGAUGACUCAGAGUUACAGUGCAGACAUUCAGGUUCACACCUCUGGGAUUUCAGCAGUGGGUGUUCCCCAGAAAAGACAUACUAGUGCAGAGGAAGAUGUGAGUAGGCUGUAAAAAGAACAGAGAAAGGCUGCUUUUACUAUCACAUAAAGAAUAUGUCAGGCAGGCUGUAUGGGUGUGCCAUUAGGUUUAGACCAGGCAAAUUCAUCUUAAAUGUUAGUGUUUAAUUCAUGCAAAGGUGCUCACAUCUGUUUCCCUGUAAAACUGCACUGUAAUGAAGUUGUUUGUUGAAGCAUUUUGUCUGUUUUUUUGUCUGAGAUCAAAAAGAGAACUAGGCUCCACACAGAAACAAAUCUGCACUUUGAAUCUAUCAUGCAAUUACAAAUUGAAUGUUUGCUUUGAAGCAGAAAGAAAAGACCAGGAUAUGACAGAUGUCCGUCACCCCCCCUUGAGUAUACCUAAACUGCAUUCAUAAUGUGAGAUACUGGCAACCACUGCAUGCAGUGCAUGGCAGCCUGCACUGAGAGAAAUGUAUUAACAUACCAAAGGCAGGUCCCAUAGUGAGACAAAUAAUGCUAAUUAUCUGCAGGAAUAUAGAAGUAAUCAAUGCCAAUCUGGCUGGUUAUGCUUGCAGGCAUGUGCACACACAAGCAAAAAUACGCAGACCUGUACUCAGAUGUUCAAUGCAUGCAUUAUACAUGUGCCUGUUAGAGUGCAACAGCCUUUUUUUGUUUUUACUGAUCUCAAAGGUCAUUGUACAGCUGUCUGUAUUAUUUUCCCUGGCAUUACAGAUAUAUUGACCUGGCCUGCAGGUAAAGGGCAUGAUCAGUACAGUGAUCCAAUGAGAAAAAAGAAAGCAACAGGAGUAUCGCUGGUAAGAUGUGCACAGUGAAUAAACAAGAUCAGUGUCUACAGUAGGAGAGCUCAGUAACUUACAAAGAUCUCUAUUUAUAUGUAGCACAGUCUGCUCCAUAACACCCCCUCAGUAAUCCCAGGUUCCAAGUUGUUUGAUUUUUAUGUGCUGCUUUUGAUUUAGAGGUUUUGUAUUCAUGUCAUGCUACAUAAUAUAAAUGGACCACACAUACACAAAACUUUUCCAUGUCUGGACCACUUUUGCUUUAUAUGUCACUCCUGUCCUUUCCAAUACAAUUAAAUAGCUUUAAAGGCUGUGUGUUUGAUCUGAGAGAUGGAGAAGUUCAGAUGCUAUCCCCACUUUACUGUGUCGUAUUUGAAGUGAUCUUGCUCCUUUCAUUUAUUUCCUGACUUAACCUCUGACUGCACUGUUAAUGCUAGAAAAUCAGGAGAUGACCCUCUUGAUUAACUUCACAUCACUACCAGCUUUAAUUGGUUCAAAGACUUUUUGGUUUAUCUUUAGAAAAAAAUAUGUAAGCCAAGUAGAGUUUCCUGCUCCAAACAAAGGAGCUGCUCAUAAUUAAUGCCUUAAUAAGAACCUCCUGGCCUCUUGGCACUGUACUAUUUUCAAUGGCAAGAAGUUAAGACUGGAUUUUAAACCUGGACUGAGCUUAUCAAAGAGCAGUGCAAUGCUGGAGCUACGGGUCAUCCAGAGGAUAAACCACAUAAGGAUGUGUAGACCUUAGUCCAGUGAAGGGGAAGUAGUAAGCCAGGAUGUCAAAAAGAUAUUUCAGUGUCUUCACACUCACAGCUUAACAACUGUCUUGGCAGGGUGACCAUCAGUGGGCAAGAUAAUUUUGUGAGUUGUAUUGAUUUCAAUAGCAAAACAUUGCCCAUCAGAGCAGUGAUAAAAUAAUAGUUUUGUUCUUAGGUAAUUAACCUCUGAAUAAAGCCCACAAAAGACCAUCAUACCCUCAGCGUCAUGUUUUAAUUACAAGACUGCAACUAGCAACAGGAUUAAUUAGCUAAAUAUGUUGACAGUCAAUGAAGACACAGCUCUGCAGUGGAGAUCAUGAAUAAUACAUCAGCUGUUAAUUAAUAUCUCACUCUUUCUCUCACUGUUGUUUCUCUCUGUUAAAGUUCAACCAAACAACAUUACUCAAGUUUCUGUCACUGAGAAGUGUUAAAUGCAAUUAAAUUAUUUUAGUCCAUCUAUUGGCGUACUGGUGUCUAAAAAGCUAAUAUAACCAUAACUCAAAGGAGUUAUUUCCCAUGGUAAUCAUAAUACCUUUGCUCUGUUAUUAUUGACUAAGUGACAGUACACGAAAUGUACCAGGAUGCUUGUGUAGACUGUAGCGCUGCUUUUAAAUAAAGAGGUGGAAUUGACUGAUUCUUAUAUAUAAUGACUUAUGUGUUGUAGUUGAAUCCCCAACCCCAAGUACAAGUUGAGUCUACAGUCCUCAAAAAUUCAAGUCACUGAGGAAGAAUCAAAGCUGGUUCAAAGUAAGGACCCCCAUACCCAUGUUGCCUGAGAUGAUGAGGCAUCAGACAUCCUGGUUGCUAGUCAAGAUAGCAUGUGAACACUCAUUGGGUAAACACAAGUGACAGCCCUUGCUAAGAAACUAUUGGGGUUUUCAUGUUAAAAAAAAAGCCUAUCAGUGAACAAGUAUGCCCCUCUCCUUCCAAGUCCAAAUGCAACAAGUGCUUAAGUCUGAGUCCAAGUUGAGUCACAAGCCCCUGGAAUCAGGGCUAGAGUUAGACUCAGGGCUGAGUCCUGGACUUGGGUACUUCAGCACUGAUUGGUCUUUGGUCUAUGUCCAAAACAACCUUCAAAUCUUGAGUUUUUGGUAGGUUACAAUGUUAUUUUUCAACACAAUAUUUCCUGAGUACUGAAUUGAAUAUAUACAGAAAUUUUGUAGGACUGAGAUUGAUGUUAUGCUGGCUUUACUCUAAAUUAAACUUUGACAAAUUUCCAUAGCUGAGAUGAAAUCAUGAGUUUUGCUAAAGUAGGGGGGAACUUAAUCUGAACUGUCUAGAACCAGAGUUUUUCAUGGUUUUGGGUUAUGGUAAAAUUAAGUAAAUGUUGUUGCAGGUCCUCAGUCUUAUCUUAUGCAAACAUAGUCAACAAACCAACAAACAAUAGAUGGGCUUCAACCAGCACCAAACAGGAAGCUGCAAACUAGCAAAAUAAACUUGACAAGGAGGCAAAGGGACAUGGGAUUCUCUUUUAUUCAGGAAAAAGGAGGAGGAACUGCUUAAGUUCUGAAGAGAACAGAAUGCCUCUCUAGCAUGUGGACCGAUUUGGACCAUGAUAGAGUUGCUGCCUUUGACAUACUUGGUUCUUCAGCUCGCUAGCCAACUACUUGGUCUUGCAAUUGGUGACCCUGCGAGACACCCAAUCUUUAGAUUAUGACUUCAAGCUCUGUAACUUGCUGACACAUUGUCGUUAGAUGUGAGAGGCUGUCAGUACCAUAUGCCAACAUAAAACACAAACACACAAAGACAUACACACACACACAAAUAUAGCAAAAUACAAUUUAAUAUCCAACAUUCUGGUAUUGCUCAUGCCUGUUAUACAAAAGGUUUUUCCAAAAUGUUCAUCUAUUCUGAAAAGGUUAUCGUUGUGAAAAGUUGGGCCCAUAAUUCAUGACAAAAACAUGGUGAUGAAUAAUCAUUUGUGAAAACAGCUGCAAAGGGGCCUCAGGUGACAAACCCCUAAUGUUUAAUCACUUUGCAUAAUCCUCAGCGUACUUGGUUGUAAUUAAAUUUCGGCUUUUGAAAAGGUUGCGCAGGCUGAGUAAACACAAAGGAGUCAUGAUAAGCAAAAGCAGCUUUUCCAAAGUACAUUCAGAAGUUACUCAGGAGCAUAUCUGCACACAGUUACACAGGAUAUUGUUUGUAUGCAUACAUAUUUCCUAGAUACACUGCACUGCUCCACAGCCUCCAAAAGUCAUUAAUAUUAUUGAUAUAUGUUUACAUUUAACCGUCCUGUUGUUAAUGCAGUCCCUCAACGCUCUUCAGGAGACAAGUCAUUAUCCUGCCUGUGCACAGAGACCAGACAAAAUGAACCAAGGAUGCAAGCGAGACACCAAAUACAUAUAUCAUUAAAACGCACUCUCUCUAGCAAACACACACACACACACACACACACACACACACACACACACACACACACACACACACACACACACACACACACACACACACACACACACACACACACAGACAGACACAGUCACUAAAAAGUAAUGAUGCAUGACAGAAUAAUUUAGUUAGGUGAACGCGCUGUGGGUUUAGAGAAUGAAAAGCAACUGAAGGAAAAAAAAAACAAUGUGAAAUUCUUUAAUAUUAUCAUCCAAACACCAAAAUCACAUAAAUAAUGUACCUAAAUCCCCAUGUUGGCAGAUUAUCCUUCUCUGUGAAAAAUGUGUUUCUUAUCUUCCAGUAUGACCCCUUCCUCUCUCACACAGAGCAUAUUUCUAAUCUGCAGUCAGCGGCAUAUCAAUUCUGCAGACACACUGUUGCUCAGGUAAAAGAGGAGUAAAGAGGUUGUCAAUGAGAUGCCAAGACAGAGGAGCAUUAAAGGGCAACAGCCAAGAGCAGACAGGCAUUCAUUUUAAUCACAUGCUUCAGUCAGAAUGGGCUGGAUGCUGCGAGGAAGAAAAGCAGACUGGUAUGAAAAGGAUGCAUGAAUAUCGAAAAGUAACAGAAAGAUUGAUGGAAACAAUGUGAGGCUUAUGAAGCGUGAAGUGAGGAGAAGUGCUGGAAGAGGAGAGUGAGGAGAGAAGGAAGCAGAAGGCAGCAGUCAGACUAAAGGAGAGUGUUGAAAUCUGGUGUGUGUAUGUGUGCGUGCGUGUGUAUGCGCCUAAGUGUGUGUGCGUAGUUUAAGUAAUAAAUCACAGACCGCUGGUGAUUAGCAGCAGGCUUUAUUGUCGCUCAUUUAAGAGUGUUUUAUCAGAAAAGUGCAACUUUCCGGAUACUGUCAAAUAUUCAUGUCUGCAGUGUAUAUGAAUAUUAAAUAUCAUAAAUUACUGAUACGUGCCACAUUAUUCUCUUUGCGCUUUGUGACGUCUUCUAAAAGAAUUCCCUCACUGAUGUACUGCCACAGCUCUCCAGACUCAGCACCCGUCUCCCCCUCCGUGUCUCUGUUCAGCUUCACAAUUUUGCAUCCAAUUUGUCAUGUGCUGUCUCUCCGUCACCCGCGUCCUCUCUCAUGCUGCCGACAGCUGAAGCAGGCUCCUGUUGCAGUCAUGCAUAACAGCGUUAAGGUGGCUUUACUGGGAGUGUUCUCUUCCAAAGAUUAUGAAAAGGUCAACCAAAACCAUAAACAAUUGCAAAAUCGAUACAAAGAGGACCGUAGUGUGAGGCAGAUUGUUCUCAGAGGGUGAGAGAAGCAGUAGCAGACUGCAACUGAUCAGAUUUAUUACCAACCUUUUAACCCUCAGGCCCUUCUUUAAACUGCAAACUAGACUCCUAUUCGGAUGUGUGAAUCUGCUGGUUAUUUCCCACAAAAUAUGCGCUUAGUAAACAUACAAGUGUGCAUAUGCGUGUGUGUGUGUGUUGGCAUGACAGGUACUGAUAUUUUGCCUCAGCUGCCGACACUGCAGAGAAGAAACAGCCUUGAGCACUAAUUAGAGCAUCUAUGAUUACUGCCCAGUACCCUUCUCUGCCAUCACACACACAUACACAAACACACACACACACACACUUUGAAUCAUAGUCAGCUAUAUUUAGAUAAGGAAAAUCAGUGUUUCAGCCAAGACCAAUAUCAGUCUGGGUUGUGUAUGAUUAGCAUCUUGGACAAGCUUAGUAAAGAUUACGAAGUCAGAACUGGAAAACUGCAGUUUAAUCAAAGGGUGUCAGGUAAAAGUUGAAGAAUUUCUGAUAAACUUCUCCUUCCUGUCGUCAGACAGAACAGCUUACACAACCCUUUGGUGUCUCAAGGUCGAGUCUAAUUAGAUCCAACAGGUGGCCAAUGUACCCGACGAUAUGUCUAUAUCUGAAGGCUAAGAAUUAAGAGUGAGCUUUUCAUCAACUUCGUCUGUAUGCAGAUGAUCUAUUGAUUUGUUUUCAUCAAGAACAAUCAAGCUACGCUGCAAGAUUUUUAAAUGUUUUGUGUUUUACUCCCAUAUUGCUUGCUAUGUGAAAGUGGUCAUCCAUCCAUCAGUCCAUCCAUCCACAUUUCUAGGAUGGGGUCAUAUUGUACCUUCUCAUCUUCUACCUCCAUAAGGCUUCUCAAACUCUAAAACAUGAUUGUAGGCCUCCUCCAAGUCCACAUUGUUCCUCGGGUAAUUAUUACAGAGUCUCCUUUCUGCAACCUUGGAAUAAAGCUUCUCUAAGAAGUUGGGAAGUAUUAUUCCAUAAUAAUUGGUGCAGAUGCCCUCUGGCCUGCCUUUUAAAUAUUGGGACUACCACACCGUCCUUCCACUUUACAAGCACUGCCCCACACUGAUAUGGAAAAUGAAGAGCCCUGUCAGAACAGUAGAGGUAGAUUACAAUAUUCAGAGCCUUCAGCAUCUCAGGGGAAAUUGAGUUCACACCUUGUGCUUUCCCAAUGAGGAGGUUCUAGUCAACCUCAGCAAAGAGUUCAUAAAUUCUCAUGAAUCUUUAAAACCUGCCUCAUUAUCAGAGGGCUUAUUAGUUAGGUUCCUCCUGUUGCACCCAAAAUUAUGAUGAUUUGCUGGGAUUUUCUUGAGCUGAACCAAAAAAUCCUCUCCCAUUGAUUCCUGGCCCUUCCCAAAACAUCUUGUUUUGGCUUUAACAACCACCGAAGCCACAGCCCCUUUAGGCCACCGAGUGCCUAUCUUCUGCUUCCAGUUUGCCCCGAGCCUACAAGGGGGAUAGACUUCGCAAAAUUAAACCAACUUAAUCAGUGCUGUUGUUGCCUUUAAGGGUUUUUUUUUUUGUUUUCAAUUUUAUCCAGUGCUUCCCUAUCUGCAAAACACUGUUUGCUGGUCCCUUUCAUAAAUGAAACUUAACCUGCCAAGUAUGUGCUGAAAACAAACUUCUAAUUUAACAACCAACAAAGUGAUAAAGGGAAUCUACUCUGCAGAAUGUCCGUGACAUUUAAAAAUGAAAAAUAUUAAUCAACUCCCUCUUCUAACGUGACAGAAAAUUUCAAUCAUCCUCACAGUGUUUUUGGUGGAGCGUUUACUUAAUUGUUGUAAGAGAAAACUAUAAUAUGCAAAAGAGUCCAGCUGCACAAGGCAGGGAUUAGAAAAAAAAUAUUUGUAUGCACGAAACCGUGUGGCCAUUUGAUUAAUUUAGUUUUGGUAGAACAGAUUCUUGUCAUGAAAUUGCAGCUUGUAGAUUUUCUAUAUAAGCUCAUUCAUAGUCAUGCACAAAGAGCUGUGGGCUGUGAACAUUGAUGGCAAAACCUAAUAGCCCCUGUCUAGACGAAUGCAGGAUAUCCAUUUUUUAUUGACAAAUGAAAUAGAAAUAUGUAUGUAACAUGUUGAUAUGAGUUACUAUGUUCCUUAAAUUAAAAGCCGCAGAUUCACAUGAAUUGCAAUACUGGCAGAAAUGGAUGCAACAUGAAUACAAGAGUGUUGUGAAGAUAAAAUAUGCCCUCAUGAACUUCCAUUUUACUUAAUGAGAUCUGCAAAUACUAGCAAAUGUUUGCAGGAUGGGUGUUAAUCACAGACCAGCUCUCUCAGAGAGAAAUUAUGCAUGGAUUAUAUGUUUAUUGUGAUGGAUUCUAGUCCAGUCUUCAUGGUUAUGAACUGAUGAGUACAUCAUAUGGCUGAGCAGCAGUGUUUGGCGCCAACCUGUCUGGCACUAUCAUCCUAUCAUCCUCUGUCAUACUAACACUCGCCAGUCAUUGCAGAUGGCCUGUUCAACUCAGUUCGCAUUCUCAUAUUCAUUCAUAGGCGCAUGCUUUUCAAAUAGUCAUUAGCUUGUGAAAUUAUUUCCGUGUUGCUGUCAUGCUUAUAAUUAAUUUCAUGGAUGUCAUUGUGCUCAGCAGCUUGCCUGUUUUUCCUUGGCUGUUUGACUGCUGCAGCCUUAUAACACAGCCACAGUUCCUUAAGUGCAUCAAAUGCUGAAUGUGCUGUAAAAGAAGGCCUGAAGCCUAUGGUCAUUUUUCUGUUUUCAUUAUUCUAUUCAUCUCUUCAGUUUCUUUAAUUCUUUGGCUUCACUUGUUUGGGUCUUCAUCACUAAAACACGAGUAUUAAAUCACUAUCAUUUCAGACUCAUACUGUUAAUUUGGUUUAUUUUGAAGACCAUGCACCAUCUGCAAGCAGGUUAAAGGGCAUAUCAUGUCACCAAACAUAAUACUUGACAUUUUUAAGAAGCUAUAGAGCUCUUCAGUGAGGAUUGUGGCAGAAGAGGCAGACAUAUUGCAGUACAUAUUGUAAAAGCAUGAAGCAUUGUGAAUGACAGAUCAGGUGCAACUACAGUGAAGUUUGAUUGAAAGACACAUUCAGAAACCUGUGAAAGCACAGAUCUCUUUUAUUCCAGCUUGGAUAGAGGAUGAAACAGAGAUAAAAGGCAGGGUCAGACAUGCAGCACACUUAUUCAAAGUGACCAUCAAAACAUUGUGGUGAGAAGGGUUACAAAACAUUACACAGAGCACCUGGAGGGCAAAAAACUGGAAAUCCUUCUCCUGCUGUACCUGGCUCAAUAAAAACAGUGAUUCACCCAUUGAUAAAAUAAAAAUGAGAUUAAACUGUUUGAUCGAAAUAAACUAAAUUAAAUCAGUAUAACAAGCAAAGGUCACUGUGGUAUUUGCCUGAAAACGUGUGUCCAAAAUUUGACUGGUGCUGUGUUUUGUUUAAGAGUCAUAAAGAACACUGUAAAAUGGGAAAGUACACAGUAACACUUCAGAUUAAGCGAAGGAAAUCAGGUUGCUUUUUGACAAACUAAAAAAAAAAAAAAACAGGAGCUUCAAUAGUUACUGAAUUUGCCACAAAAACCCUAAUUUGCUUCUUUCCCAUCUUUUUUUGACAGUCAUGAAGACUUUGGCGGGAUUUAGCGGGAUCUCUCACUGUGAAAUGUAACCAUGACUGACAUCACCUUUUGGUAAGUGAAUCAACUCUUUAAAGUUUAGUUGUUUUUUUCCACCAGAUUAGUAUUUGUAACCAAAGUGACCUAAUUUAAAUGAAAGGGUAUAUAUCCAGUCAAUCAAUCAGUCUUUAUUUAUAUAGCAGUUUUCACAUACAACCAUGUAGGACAAAGUUCUUUACACAGAAAAAGGAAAAAAAAAGAAAAAAAGAAUACCCAAAUCUACCCCAGCCCAACCCCUCAUUCCUACCCCACGAUCUAAAUGCAACAGAAACAGUAUUAAAAUGCAUUAACUUAAAAAGGGCUUGAUUUUGUGGAAACAGGAGUAUGCACACUGAGGAAACGUCAUUUUAAAACUCAAGAUAAGGAAACACUGAACGUUUAGGUUAAAAUCAAGUAGUAUAGAAUGAAGUUGAAGAAACAAUAAAUAAAAUGAAAUAAAAACAACAGAAAAAGAUGCUAAAAUAAGAGCACAAAAAUUGCUCAAUAAAAGACGAACCUGUCAUCAAAACUAGAAAGAGAUAAAUGCUAAAACACUUCAACAAAGUUAAUAAUAUAAAAUUUAGUUAAAAGGAAGACUAAAAAGGUACAUUUUCAGUUUGCUUUUAAAAUCAUUAAGGUUAGGUGCAGUCCUCAGGUCUUCAGGUGAGCUGUUCCAUAGACGGGGGCCAUAGUCAUAAAAAGAUGCCUCAUAUAUGUGAUGCGAUUAGCAAUGUCUUCAUAACUUCUGACAGUUUGCUUGACUAUGUAAACAGUGUAUAGUUAGACACUUAAUUGCUGCUCUUUUGGAGGAGCUGUGUGUCAAAGGCUUGUUAGCUAGCCACCCAUGUCUGGGUGACGAGGUGGUGCUGUGUGAUGCCAGUGUAAGGGCAGCUGGUCCAGCUGGUCCAAAAACGGAAAGACCAGAUUGCCAUAUUUCUGUUCAGUCUGAACAAUCUGCAAAGGUGACAAAGUCUCAGUCCUUUAACGGAUACAGCCUGUGAAUUGGGACACAGCUAUAAAUUCAUGUUGGAGGUAAACUUUUUUCAUUAUCAUUUAAUGACAUCUUUUUAAGGGGGGAUUGUUGUAGAUCUCAUGGCAAUCCUUCACUAGUUUAUUCUUUUAAAAUGUACCAAGUAUGGUAAAGGCAUACUGCAACCCAAACUGGAGUGUGUUAGUGAAAGCUGCGCCAGAUCUUUAACAUCCAGUCUGCUGCAGAGUGAUGGAACAGAUAUUUAUGAGGCUGGUGUUUUAUUUUCAGCUGAGUUUAACCUUUUUCUUUCUCAGAGGCUGAUAAUAUCACUGUCCGAGGGCCCUUUUUCAGCAGCCUCAGUAAGAAAAUUUCUUAUGUCAGCUGUUUUAUCAUAUUUUCUCUUCCCUAGCUUACAAACUAAAAGUGAUCUCUGACCUUGCGUGCCCAGCAUUGACCCACACAGAACUAAAUCAUUAAAUGUUUUUUAUUCAAACAUUGGCUGAGACGCAAUUGAUUAAAAAAUAACUGUUUUGAUUUUAACUUUAAACGAAAAUAAUAACAAAACGAUCCUAAAGCCUAGUACUGGUUUGAGGGUGGCGGGUGGGUAUUGUGGACUCCUGGGCUAAAGCGUGAGUGUGGAGCGGGCCCUCCGCAGCACUUACCGCGACACUUGUUUAGGGGCUGCCUUCUGUUGCCAUCAUGUAGCAUUGCUGUCUACAGCCAUUUCUUGAUCUCUUCGACCACUUAACGAAAAUUGUGAUACGCCUCGCCGGUAGCGGAUUUAAAGGUGAGGAGAGGAGCUGAUGUGAUUGGUGAAAACAGGACUCGGCUGUGUUAAACCCACUCCAUGCCUUCUCUCCUCCCUCUGUACGACUUACGCCGCUGGGAGGAGCUGAGUUAGGGAGGGGGGAUACUUACGCCGAGCAAAAUACCAAAAUAUGCUUGGGCACACCUUGUUUGCGCAGCAGACCUGACUUAUGCUGCGCCUGAGCCACGUUGCCAGCAUGAAAAUAGAGCCCCUUUUGCAACCAGAAAGGUCGCCCCCUGCUGUCUACUUCUGUAAACAGUCUGUGAGUGUAACUCUGCAUACACUGUUUGUGAGGAAUAGAAAAGAGGCAGCUGAGUUUAGCUGCUUUGACAUGAAUACAGUUGUAUAACAAGAGAAAACCACUUAUGAAGUCGUGCAUUUAUAUUGUAUGCUGGGGAUUUCUUCAACAUGUAACAUGGAGCAUCCCUUGUUGUUUCAGUGUAGCACUACUCAAGCACAAGGAUAUCUCUUCAUUGUCUAUUUGCAUGGACACUGGAAAUAUGACUUGUCUGGAUAACACUUUGGCAAAUUACAGCUUCUGUUAAGUUUAUUCACAAACUACAUUAAAACUUCAAGUUGAAGUGUAGUUUGUUCCACAAAACAGCAUCUCCAACACUGAUCCUCCAAGCCAUUAUUAAAAAGUCAUGCUUCUGGUUUAGCUUGUCUGUAAACAGCUUUAACACCAGCUUUCGUACUUUUCUCUAGUUUGGAGGGUCCCCUGGGUACAAACCAAGAUGUGAGCGAAUGUUGAACAAGAUGAUAGGAUACUACUUAAAUUCAAAAUUAAGACCGUUGUGUAAGAGAGAAGGGGGGAGAAUGAAAAACAGUGUAACUAGUGGAGAUCAGUCUGCUGUUUUUGGCACCACUAUAUCAGAACAGUGUGCGCCCAGGGCCUCCUUCAGCAAUCAGAGUCUAGAUGGAUGACUGGUCUGGGAAAGUGUUGGGGCUUUACUGAAGUGAUGGAAGUUGGAGUCAUGGAGUGCUUGUCUCACACUCAAUGACACACACUGCUGCACUUAGGAUGUCAUGUCAAACUCCUUAGGUCCUCAGAGAAAACUGCAGUGUUUCCGUGACUGUUGGGCAUUCAUUUUGCGAAGCACAUGGUGGAUGGCAGCUUGUUGCACUGGCACAGUGUAAUCUUGGUUCGAUGACACAUGUAUUUUUGACAGUUUGACAGCAUUCAAGUGCCACUGUCACACCGACUGAAAAACUUGACAGUUCUUGGUGUUGAUAAUACUGUGUCUGGAAAAGAGUAGUUCAAGCAGGUCCUAAAACUUCCCACAAACCUUGUUUUUAAAUCAAUAAAUGUCAACAGUGGAGCCAUCUUUAUGAACCAUGUUGUAAUGGCAAUGUUAAAGGCCAGGGGGCUUCAAAUGGAAGGCCCGAUCAUCCAAGUAUCAUGAACCUCUGAAUAUCUGUUUUGUUGUUUAAAGCUUCUGUUGUUUAAAGAAUUUUUGAGUGGAUAUAAAACAGACUGAAAUGAUCAGUGGUGAGUCCCUACUAGGGUUGCAGAGGGGCGGAAAAUUUCUGGACAAUUUCCAGAAACUUUCCAUGGGAAGUUAAGCUGGGGCGUUUUGGAAAUAUUCCAAAUUGGACACUUUCCAUGGAAAUUAUAGAAAUUAUGAGAAUUUAUGAGAAUUAUUUGGAAUUUAUGGAAAUUAACUAGAAAUUGGGGGUAAUUUAUACAAACAUCAAUGUAAAUAUUUUUGUUUUGUCAUAAGAAGACAUCCAUGCAAAAUAAUGCAAUUAAAAAAAACAUUUCAACUGAUUUAUUUGAGUGGCGAUGGCGAACGUGGCAUUUUUCUGUAGAAUAAAAUAACAAAAAAGCUUGUAAAAACACUAAUGCAAUGGUAUGAACAGAAAUGUAGUUAGCUAAACAACUGGAAUAGUCUUCAAAGUAUUUCACAUUUGAUGUAUUGUAUGGUGACAGAAAACCGUCUUGCAGGAGUCAGAAGAAACAACAUCACAUUUGAGGCAGUUACCACCACCAUAAUAAGCUAGCUGCUUAAAUAGUCAAUAGCUUACAUUUAGCACCUAUUUUUAUUAAAUUUUUGCAAGUUAAAUAUUAAUACAUUAUUGAUCAAAUAUAUAAUAUAAGUUCCCUGAUGUGGGCCAACCUUCAAUUUUGUAAAUUUCAGAUUUAUUCCCAUUAAUUCCCAUGGAAAGUUUCCUACUUUGAAAAUUCCCAGGAUUUUGCAACCCUAGUCCCUACGAUGUGCAAAGCAACUAAGAUCAUUCAUAGCAGGCCUGACAAUUACUAUACUGUAACUUCUAUUGUCUGUAACUGCUGUGAGAAGAAACAGCCUUACUUUACAGCCUUACAGCAAAUAUUCACUGUGAGUGAUAAAGUUCACAGCAAAAAGACGACAGGACAAGAGUUUUUGUCAUUUGGCAACACUUUUACAGAGAUGACACAAAAUCAGUUACAAGACUUAUGAGUUUGUCAAUAGGGGGUGCCAAAGUUAACGCAGAAAGUUUCUCACUAAAGCUUUAAUCAAUAAUGAAAGGGGAGGACAAAUUUAAUACAGAAUGACACCCUACGCUUUACUUUGUUUUGUUUAUGAGUUGGAACGUGGCAGUCAGUCAGUUUGCAGGUUUAGCCACCCCAGUUCAAAAAUUCUGUACACCUCUUUUGCUAAAGAUGCCAGCACCCUGUAGUCCUUUAAGACUUACUGUAUGUGAGCCAUGCUGUUCUUGUUGCAAAGCUGUCACUGCAGCAUACAUUUGACACAAAUUGUAACAAAAAAUUUCCUUUUGUAGAUAACUGUUCUCUAAGAGUGGGGUAACUCGGUAAACUGGCGUGUUAUCCCAUCUCCAUCUAGACUAAUUUCAUCUCAGAUGCCGUAUACAAGCUUACAGUGUUUGUUCUCAUCCAGCACACGGAUAUCAGUUUCCUCCUCUCAGCAGCUCUCAUAGCAGGAUCAUUCCCUUUAACGUGCUUUUGGUGAAGAAAUUCAGGCAAUUUGCAGCCGGUGAUGCAAAGCUCUCACAUACCAGAUAAGUGCAUUUCUACUGAUCUGAUCUCUGCCAUGAGAGACUCAUUUCCUUUGUAGUGUUUCACUCCAUAAGCCCAUGUAAUGCACCUUAUUCUUCAGAAACCACUGGUCCUCUUAUGAACCAAAUAGAUUUUUGCACUUUUCUAUGUUUCAUUAAAUAUUUAUAGCAUUAAAUUGAUGCUAAUUAGGUGUCUUGACAAACAGCAGUUUACUUUGUUCCCCUUUCUUUCUAUUUACUGGUUUUAUUUUACUUAUGGACUUUUGAUAACUUCAUUUGGAGGAUUGAGCAGUUUUGGUUUCUACAGUUUUAGAGCUGCAAAUGUGGAAAUACAUAACAUGACAAAAAAAAGUUUUCCAAAAUAUACAUGACACAAGAUUUUUUGACUUGUGCCCUGUGAAAAAACUUUUUGAUCUGUCUUUAAAAGUACUCAGGAUACUUGAGUAUUCCUAAAAACAAGUACUGCAGUACUCAAGCAAUAAUUUGAUUGUGCAGCUUUUACUCAUAUUCGAGUAAUAUUACAGCAGGAGUAUCUAUACUUAGACUCAAGUUAUGAAGUUGUGUAUUUAGCCCAACACUCCACAUUACUUGUAACACUGAUGAAAAUGUGGUUUUACCAGUUAAUCAAUUAAAAUGUUUUCAUCAGCAAAAAGCUUAAAUUAGUCAAUGCCUGACUUAAAAUGCAGCCUGAUCAAUCCAAAUGAGUUUCAGUGGUUAAUUUUCUGACACCUAAAAAAGCAUUUCCUUCAUGACUUUAACACAACAGCUGCUGUUCUUGUUUGUUGGUUCACUGAAGCUCAUCCAGCUAGCUUAAUAGAAAAUAAAAGAAAACUCAAUUACUCAAAGCUACAGAUAAAAAUGUCAAUAAUGUUGAGAAUUUUUCCUCCUUUUUCUCGAGUGGGGGUAUACGGUUAGGUUGUGCUAAAUUUAAAUCUAUAGUGGAUUUGAUUAUUUAUUUUAUUGUGAAAUAGAGACAAGAGGCCUUUAUUGUCAAUGGGAAAUUGUAGGGAUCUAAUUUUAGCUGUGAGGUCUGGAGCGGUGAGUCACAGGAUUGCGUUUGAACAGAUAAAAGAGCCAUCUGUGAGCUUCUGUCACAGAUAUUCAGUCAGGUUUUUUUGCACAUCUUUGUUUUUUGUUUUUUUAGGCUAGCAAACGGCUGUUGAUCUGUCCAUGAAGGUGACAGUCUGUUCACUUGUUGAUUAUAGAUCUGUUUUUGGAUACAUGUUCAGCACAGAAGCAGCAUUCAACACUUGAAGCCAAUUCUGAUUUAGCUUCAAAGAACAUGAACAUUUUUAUAUGUUAAUUUUGUAAAUGGCUUUACAUCCACGCCUUGUUUGCAAGCCUAUUUUAGGGCUUUUGAAUGUCUGUAUGGAUCCUCUCCAGUGUAUGUUUCUCCUGCCUGUUUUACAUAUAUUCUGUUUUUAACAUGUUGUGACUCUUUGAAGAUUCACAUGCAGAUUCAGGGACAACUUACAAAAGCUCCCAUCGCUCUCGGCUUUCCCGCUUUUGUUGACCAUAUUCUCUUCAUGUUGUCAUAGCGCCUCAGUCCACUGUUUGCCCUUCUUCUAUUGCACAAAAACUCUGGUGACGCAGAUAUAAUGAGCAUCCUCAUUUAAUGUGCUCCUAUAUGUUGUGCACCCUGUGGGGAAAAAAAGACUAAUAACCACUUGAGAGAAACCUCAGCUCAAGGAGUGUGUGUGUGGUGUGCUCGUGUGUGUGUGUGGUGUGCUCGUGUGUGGGCAGAAGACUCGGAGUAGACUUAAUGGAUAUUGCAGUAGAUAAUGGUGAUUUAGAGAGGCAGAGGGCUGUAUAGAUUGUGAACAAAGCUCAUUUACUAUCCAUGAUCCUUUUUAUGGCACACUCCCUUUAUGACACUGCAUCUCCACAAAGCCAUAAGUCAUCAUACAACUGACAUGCGUGGUCACAUAUAGAGAGCCAAGACCUGGUCGAUAACACAGUAUCAGAUGAAAUCUAAUAUAAUGAGUACUGGCAUCACUGUCCCCUUCAUUAGAGAGGAGCAGACAAUUACAGAGAGGUUACACAAAUGAGACAGCUUAAAGAUAAGACACCAGCCAUGAUUUGCUAUCACAAGCACUUGCUAGAAUGGAGACAAAGUAUUAUUACCCAAGGAUGAAGAACAUGUCCCAGCAUUUGGAAUCAACUAUACUAUUGUUUUCACACAGUUUUUUUUUAUUAUCACCACUCUUUGUUAACAAGGACUUUAUUGGUCAAAACCCAAUAACCAAAGUUUCACUAGUGAGUAAUUCUCCACAACAAAUGAGACUUUUGAUCAAGAAAAGUCACAGCCAACCAAUCUGCAAACAGAAGUCCAGCAUAUUUCACCUCUGUCUGUUGACGCUGUGGCAAAACCAAUACCAUUUGUCAAUAUUCUCAACUGGUAUGCUAAACAACAGAAAGGAUGAGGUUGAAAUCCAUUCCUGUCCUGCAGCUAAAGCAACAGCAGCAGAGCUUGAAGAUAGUUAUGAAGUAAAUUAAGCCACAAGUGACAAUAAUAGCAACAUUAUUAAAAGUCAUUGUAUCUGCCUCAUUUAUCUUUAUAGGUGAGCUAAUGACGUGACUCUGAAAAGAAACGGGAGCUGGAUGAGGACAGAAAUCUCAACCUAAAUACUCACGUUCACCUUGUUCAGCAGCAUUUAUUUUACAAAUGAUAGAGUUCUAUUCUGUUCUAUUCUACUUAACCCGUUAGUUUUGUCGGUCAAAACUGGAAAAUUAUCACCUGUGGUAUACCCGAGGACUUGAUUCUUGUCCCCCUCCAAUUCCCACUACACCAGAGAAUAAUAUAAUUUAUAAUAUGCUGAAUAUUUUUCACAGUCAUGCUGAUGACACACAGCUAUGUAUGCCCUCAAGAUAUAAAAAUCUCAAACAACACAGAAAAUUUCAUUCUUGAGCCCAACUUUUUAUUGCAACUGGAGCUCAUAUCAGCAGGUACAGACAGUUGCAAUCCUGCUUUCGUAAAGCUUAAAAAAAGAAAGGAAUAAGAAUAUAAAAGUUUUUGAAGAGCCGGUCAAUUUAUUAGUUUACUGAUCUAGACAAAACAUUUAUGCUUUGAUUUGAUUUGUUUGGUCUACCCCAUGUCUGCAUGUCUGCCCCAAAAAUCAAUAAAAAAUCUCCAGCUUAUCAAAAAUAUUGUAACAAGACAGUUUCAGGGUUUUGCUUUAUCUAUUUGGUUUGAUUAGAUUUGCUGCUUUAUCUGUGAAGUUAGUAAAUAAAUUUUGGACUCGCCGAGUUGCAGUGACUUUUAUCAUCGUACAGCUCUUGCCUCUAAAGAGAGAAUAUAACCCCUGUCCUGGCACAGCUGCUCAAGCUAUCUGUUGGAAUCAGAAUUGAUUUUAAGAUUUUACUGAUUACUUUGAAAGCACAAAAAGGUCCCUGGUUAUAGCUCCAAGGUUCGCUAUCUCGCUAUCUCAUCUCUGAGAGAUAGUGGCUCCAGAGUGCUGAGAAUAACAAUGACUGAAACCAACACAGGUUUGAGGCUAUAAAUUCUGGCAUUUAUUAAUGAAAAACCAAAAUGUCAGCCGCUCCAAUGCACACACUCUCAAACACACACACACUUCUUAAUUUCCCUUUUUCCUUAUCUCAACAAAAUGCAUAAGAAAUCUACGGUCAGGUCCUUUUUUCCAGCUGUCUGUGUGAAAGAGAAAAGGGGAUAUGAAAAGAACAAUAACCCUCAAUGAUUGCUUCUUUGAUUUUCUUUCCACUAGAAAUUAUUACAUCCAUCAUCUGCCCUCAUGCUGCUACAAAAUACCAGAGCUAAAAAGGCUGCAGUGCAGCGCUGCUGACAUUACAUUUUCUCAAAUUAUUCCCUCAGAUUUAGAUGGCUGUGUUUUGAAUGUAGUUUCCAUCUCUUAGUGUCCUCACUCUGCCUACAAAGAAGGUAUUCGGGGGAUGUGUGCUUCAGGUCAUGAUCAAAAACACUUCCAUUCUGCUGAUUCUAUCUAUCUAUCUAUCUAUCUAUCUAUCUAUCUAUCUAUCUAUCUAUCUAUCUAUCUAUCUAUCUAUCUAUCUAUCUAUCUAUCUAUCUAUCUAUCUAUCUAUCUAUCUAUCUAUCUAUCUAUCUAUCUAUCUAUCUAUCUAUCUAUCUAUCUAUCUAUCUAUCUAUCUAUCUAUCUAUCUAUCUAUCUAUCUAUCUAUCUAUCCAUCUACCUAUCUGACUCUUUCCCAUGGACUUAAAAAAUAGCAAUAAAUAACCAAACUAAGUUUCAAGCAGCAUAACCAGGUAAAUUUUCCCCUCUGUGGUAACGCAGAACAACAGAAAGGAACAUCUUGGGCUGUUCAAUCAUGGAACUCAUCUGCAAUCAUCUCCUAUUAUUGUCUGAUAACACUCUGUGUUUUGUGCCUCUGGGAGGGGAUACCAACUUUCCAGUAAUUCCGCUACAGCUGCCAGCAGCGUGUAUUCAACCAUCUCCAGAUAAGAUAUCCUUUCUUUGCGGUGUAAGUGACGUGACUAGCAUUUUAUCUUGGCCCAUUACAUCUCAUGGAGUAGCACUCAUUCAUCUGUAUUCAUUAAAUGAGUCCCAGCUCAACAGUAGACGGUAACACGGGGGCUUCUCCAGCAGAGCCAAGGAAAAGCCCAUUUUGUUCUGAUUAAGUUACAAUGAUUAGGUCUUAAAAUGUAGACCAUGUUAAUGUAUGUCCCAAAGAGAAAGAUCAAGCUUUUAAAAUGCUUGUCUAUUGAUUGGAGGUCUGAUUGAUCAUUUCUGACACACUCCAGGUUGUCAAGAGCUGAUCUAACUGAUUUUGUUUUGCAACAAAGCAUCAAGCACCUUAAUGACAACAAUGAAAUGUUUGAUCUGGAAUAUAUUGUCACUUGCAUUUUCCUAAAGACACCUGGUUGGACAGAUAAAUAAAUCAUUAUAAGAAUACCACUGAUGAGACUCAGGAUGGCAUUACUAUGAUGAGCGAUCUGCUUGCUUUUGCUCCCCAUUCUGGCUGUUUUUUCCUGCAUACACCAAAGCCUGAUGACCCAUGAUUGGUCAAUACUAAGUGGACUAAUGUCCAACAAACAAAAAAGAGAACACGUCUAGACCCUGAGUAAAUUGAGUGUCAAAGCUGUCCCCCAUUACUGGUUUCAAUCUAUCUCAACCCCCACAACUGGAUUAUUUGGACUACUUACCUGGUUUUAAACCUGCUGCUUUUUCAGCAGUAUCUCCUGCUUGCACAUUGCUGUCCUUGCACAAACCAAGAGUGUGUAAGUGUUACCUCUAUGUCACGCUCUCCUACUCCUUAGCUCUGUUCGCUCAGUCUGAACCCAUCUGCAGUACAGAGACUCUGCAGGCUGAAACCUACAAAUUGAGCUGGACAGUGUCAAUACUUGCCUCUUUGUCUCUUCUUGCCAAUAUUAAAGUGAAGGGCAUGACUGGUUAUCCUUGAUUUUAUGUGUGCUGCGUUCAGAUUUUUCACCUAAAGCACUUCACAAAUAAACAUGAUAUACACUUUACUUUGUAGUGCUAAUAAAAUGCCUCUGAACCCUUUCUCUUUUAUUGAUUUUAUUUCCCCUCUCUGAUAUGCAACAACUGAUGUCAUUUGCUGAGUUCUCCAUAUUGGGUUAUCUACAUUAAUUCACUUUUCCACAGAGCAAUAAUUUGUUCCGCCUUGUUUUGAAGUCAACCCUGUAAUAUGAUGCCAUUUUUGGGGUGCCUGGCAUCAGCUCUGAAAUGUCACCGGCUGCAUAUUUAUAAGCUCAGGACAUUUCAAAAACGGGGCUCUCUCCUGAGUAAAACAACAAAUAACAUCAGUUUUCCUGUGAGCUCAGAUGAAGUUUAAUAAAAAGACUUUAUUAAAGGUCAUCUCACUGCCAAAAAAAGAAAAAAAAAACAGAGGGGCUUAUAUCAUCAGCACAGGUUUUUUUUUUUUUUUUGGAGUAGCCAGUUAUUGAGAAAAGUAUCAGUACUAGUAAAAUAUUUGCAUUAGAUUUUAAUAUACAGUCUUAAUUACACUUGACGGGCCACAUAUCAUCUUGGUCUUUGAAAAGGCUUAAAUAUACUCUAUCGAGCAUUUACUUCUCAGGCAGUCUGCAGUAGUGUUGUGUCAUUCGUGAACGAUUCGUUCAAAAGAACUGAAUCUUUUAAGUGAAUGUACUGGACCAAAUUUCUUUAGUGAUUCGUUCGUUUCUCACAUCAGUUGAGCUGAAGAGAGAAAUGAACAAACGACAAAACUACCUUUUUUUUUCACUGCUAAAUUGCCACCACAACAACUUGCAUACAAUAGGACACAGCAUGUAACAAGUAGUUCAUUAAACUUGCAGCAUCCUAUCAUUGCAGUGGUUUGUGAGGGAACAGUGCAUGUUCAGUGUGAAUUCUUCUAAAUGUUAAGUGAACGAAUCACUCACUGACCCCAAUUUACCGAGCAGACUUGAUAAAUAGCAUACCGUAGAACAAAGCAACACAGCCAAACACUCUUGUCUCCCGGUCCCAGAAGCUAUGAAUUGAUCUGAAUCCUGAACUGCUCAGCUCUGUAUCAGUUCAGGAGGUUGGAGUCGCAGACUUCUCCCACCAAGCACUAAAUGAUUCAGUGAUUUGGUGAACGAAUCUUUUGAAUGAAUCUUUUUAGUGAAUUGAUUCUAGUGAUUUAGUACAUCUAAAAGAACUGCUGUGCCCAUCACUAGUCUGCAGACCUCUUCUAACUCAAGUCCAACAAAAUCUUUUGCAAGUUCCUUCUUCAACAGUUUACUUCACUUUUAGAACUAAAAGAUUCAGAAUCCCCAGAGGAUGUCCACAAAUGACUUUGGUAAUGCCUUUACAUUAGUACAGCCAGCAUAUUUCCAAAGCAUCACCACUAUCAUGUGCAGCAGAAACAUAGCAGUAUGUUUUGACAGGCAAAUUAAUUGACAGCAUCAUUCCUCUCUUUUUUUUUUUGCUCCAUCCAAAAGGUUAACUUGCCAGGUUCUGAAUUUUUAAUACUUGUGUCUGCUGCUGCUGCUGCUGGAUACCAACAUCAAGCACAGCAUCAGAGCACAGCAAAGUUAUCACUGUGAAUGCAGUCUGAGUGUCACCUGCUUGCAAAUUUGCAAACAACACUGCUGCUGUCACAGAUAGUGUCAAGCUGCUGGAGACAGGUGUACUUAUCCUGCGACUUUGAAUCAGCUGCAAAAGGAUUUGGGUUCGCGGGAGCUGUUCUUUAAAUGUUUUUAAAAACAGAUUGAAGACACUGGAGGAAGGCAAACAAUCAAAAUUUGACACAAAGGUGACCUAAUUUGACUUUGAGAGCUUUUGCAGCUAGCCUGAAGGACCUGCAGUUUUUAGCACCUCUGCAUCAGCUUUAUUUCUCAUCAGGAUGCCACCUGGUUUUCCAUAAUCAUGCAGCACAACCUGAUGUUUUGGCUUGCACAUCUGACAGGUUCAAUUAUAUCCUUUGUGUCUAGGACCAAAUCCAUGCAACACAAAGAAGAAUCCAAACAGCCCCAGCUGUGCCUCUAUUACACAAAAAAGCCUCCUAACACACUCGACAAAGACAGUUUAUAACUGUAAUUCAGUUAUGAACAACUCAGUGUUGCGCAUGUUGCUGAAAAUUAAUUAUUGGUUACAAUUACUUGUUACUAUCAAGGAGUGGCUGAAUUACUAGGUUGCUCAAUUAAGUCAGUAAUCAGUAACUCACUUCCUCUAGCUUCAGUACUCUUAGUGUACCCUGCCUCAUGUCUCACCAUUGUUUUGGUAGACAUGGUAGCUGUUGACAUGUUAGCAAACAUGGUAGCUUCAAGAACAGUGUCUUAUAGUUUUGUGGAGGGCUCAUCACAUCAAGCGCGAAGCGAUUUUGCGACUUUCCGGGGGGAAAAAAAGACGUGUCCCGGGUGGAAGCGAGAAGACUGACACAACAGCAGACUGACAGUUUUUCAGUUCUGAUUAGACACUAGUGUUGAGAUGUCUGUCUGUCAUGAUAGCAUGUACUGAGUCGGGGCCAGUACCAGAUAAGCACAUUAAACUAUGAUCCAUAAACGUAAGGUAACAACUGAGACCUAACAGCGCUGUGACAGCAACGGGAUUGAGUUUGAGACAGUGAAAAUACAUAUGGUAUGUUGUACCUGAACAGGUUAGCUUACAAGCUAAAGUUACUUAGCAUAGAUGAAAGUUAAAACAAAGACGUCAUAUGAAAAAUUCGGCGCUAUGACUCUCCACAAGUUGUCCUUCAGGUCGUUAUCUUUGUAAUAUUUGUGUUUUUUUAAUCAAAAAGCACUCUGUUUUCCGACCCGAAAACAAUCAGCCGGUCGGCCAUGUUGGAUAUACCGUUGAAUCUGACGUCGCGACAACACGAAAUCUGAUUGGUCAGUAGUGGACACAGAGCAUGCGAAACUUUAGAAAAAUCGACCGUGAUCUGAAAAAAUAAACGCCUCAAUAUCGCAGGACAUGCUGAUGUGAGCGCUUGUAUUGACAGGAUACCGUUAAGAAAAAAAAAUAUUGACGUCCGAAAUAAUCGCACGAAAACAAUGUUCCUUAAGUCAGCUUUACAGAGUCACAAGCAUGUUUGUAAAUUAUUUACUCUGCAUCAUGAAAGACAAACAGGUUAUUUAUUGUCAGUAAAUGCUCACGGACAGGAACAAAAAUCAAUGUAAAAUCAAAUAAAUCUUGAUUUAACAUUGAGGUGAAGUGAGUGUAUCUUUAAAAAUCUUACCCAGGGGUGACUUUAUGAUUAUGUUGGGUCAUUUUCAUGUCCGCUGAGAGUAAACCAAUUAAAUCUAGAUACAGCUCAACACAUGUGUUGACACAGUACAGUACAGUCUGUACUGUUAGAGUGGCUCAGCUGUCGGCAUCAUCUUGAAGAGAUUUUGCUCCCCGGUGCAUAUCUAAAAUUACGGCUGCUAUCUAAAGCAAUUAUAGCUGUAGGGGAGGGUGUUAAAGUGUUAAAGCUUGGAGAAAUGCUCAACUUGGACUGGAACCUAUCUCAUGAAUAUAAAUCUUCUUAUUAGACGGCCGUUUGAAUGCAGGGUCAAAGGUGUAUCCUGUGCUGUAUCUAUUUAUGAAAAAUGAUGACAUAGCAGCAUGAUUUCAGUGCAAGUGGAGGGUUAUUUUUCAGCUGUCUCGUCACUAUAACCCACUUUAACACACGCAAAUGCUCACAGAAAUCCAAGACGUUAAUGAUCUCUUGUAAAAUUUAAUAGCGACAUUGAUUUCCUGCUGUUUCAAACAAUAGGCCUCAGUGGUGUUGAGUUAAAAGACUUUGUGGCCGGAUGGGGAGCAAAUCUAAUUCAAAGCCUCUUUCCCCAUAAGCUUUUUAUUCUUCAGACCAAGGAGAGAGGUUUCCCAAGUGGUUUUGCUCAAGUUGCACACAACCAGUCAUCUGUUAUGCCAUAAUGAUGUAACAAAACACAGGAGGGAGGAUCAAGUGUGUCCAGCAAAAUGCUUUUGUCCCCAUUUAGUCUUUUUCCGAAUCCAUACGCUUGAUCAUACCUGUUUAAAAAUCUUCCUACACUGCACUUUUAUCUCUUCAUCUCUCGCUUCAUCCUCUUAGUUUUUCAUUUUACAGAUAUACCCAACAUUAUUGGAUGUCUUUGAUGCAUGAAAGGACUUGACUUAACUUUGAAUAUAAAAAAGAAAUCUGCCUUCUCUUCUCGAGGACGAUCUUUCACUCUCCUGGGAUCUCUUUGUUCCUUUAUAGUCAGAGGCCCAAUGAGCCCUGCUUUAAUGGCUCCUAUAGAUAUGCACAGCAGUAUCAGCAGCAUAUUUUCGCUACAGAUGUUAUCUCAAGCUGGCUAGUUUCACAAUGGUAGGUACUAAAAGCGCCACUAGGAAUCCCUGUUUUUUUGUGUUAAUCAACAAAUUUCAAUGCCACGAUUAAGUUGUGUUUUGGCUUUACUUUUGGCUUUAAUUUCCCUUCCCAAUACAGUUUGUGUAAAAUUGUACCUUUUAUUUCAAUGCUCUGGCCAGAGAAAGACAUUAUCCCAUUUGAGCUGAAUAUUAAGAUAACAAAUACAGCACUAAGUGUGUUUUGAAGUACACAGCAAACUGUUUGGAAAAUUGUGGACAAUAUUUUUAAAGCUUCAUUGGGGAAGUCUUAAACAGGUGAUGAAACAGUUUGAUACUGAGUUUAAAUCUGUUUUCUGAGCCCCAACAGAGAUCAUUAAUGGUGAGGUUAACAAUAUCUCUGUUUUCAUUCACUGCAGAGGGGUGGUGCCAUCAACAUCAUGUCAAAAAGAGUAUUUUAUUUUAGAUUAUCCAUGCCAAGAUUUGUUGUAAAUUCAAAAUGACAUAUUUUGAGUGAAUUUUUUUUUUGUUUGUUCUCUUUUUUUAUACAUAGAUACAGGACAAGUUCUCCUAAGGCAUGCAUUAUUCUGAACCCUUAUUCUGUCCUCAGGAGGGAAACAAAAUUGAACCAGCCUCUUUCCGCUCUAAAGUCAAUGUGAAAAUGAGCACAAAAGCUUGAUUAUAAAGAUAUUAUUGUAUGCAGGCCCUUUAAAAAUGUCUGGACAUCCUUGGGUCUCAGGUGGCCCAGCGGUUUAAGCCCCAUGUAUUGAGGCUACAUCUUAAUUACAGCGGUGGCUGAUUUUACUCCUGGACAUGCAUAACGUUUCCUCCUUUUUAUCUCCUACUCUCUACUUUCCACAGUAUCAGUCUCUUGUCUGCCGAAUUAUUUUGCCAUGUUCAUGCAACAAAUCUGUGACUCGAAUUUUUUUUAACAAAAUGUAUCUUGGUUGAUGUAAAGACAACAAUUUUCAGGGGAAUUAAGAUGCAAAAUCAUAUACAAGGACUCAGUAUAAAAGCCAAAGGUGCAUUUUUGCUUUGACAGUUAUUGAUAUCUUACCAAUGUGGGAAACAGCAAAAACUGCCAGAAGGAAACAAUGCAGCUUCAACAACAUCCUCUGUUGAGGGUCUGUGUGUGAUAAAUUAGAGGUAUCUAGUAUUGAUUGAGUGUUAGUAGAAGAAAAAUAAAGAAACAAAUGCAGGCAUUUUGAUGGAUGACAAUUUACUCCCCUGGACAUUUGUGUGAAUUUAUGGCAGUUUGAACAUUUAAAGAAGAGGAAGGGGAGGGAAGCAGCAUAGAAGACCUAUUAAAUCCCUAACACAGGCUCCGGUUGAACCAGAAAGGUCAGGGUCCUGUGGUGCCACCAUUGUAUUCUCCAUCAGCUGACUUAUUGAUUGACUGAAUCCCCAUUUAUCACUCUUUUAGGCUGGUAAAUGAUUCUUUGAUGCUUUUUCUCACCUAUUUUUUAAAAAACCAUUAUAUUGGCAUCCCACCUCCCAUCGUUGCGCACAAGAUGAAUGACCACACCCAUGUAUUCUCAGCUGUGAUUUACCACCAACAAUCUAACCAAACCAUGUUUUUAUACACUGCAUUGACCAUGAUUCAUUGCAAAGGUUGACACACCAUAGAGUCACAGUUUGUAUGUGCCAAUGCACACUAAAUUUAAAGCCACUCGGGUCUGUGGCCUUGGCAGUUAGAUAAAACUACCGCACUCAAGAGCCAGCUAAUGUUGCUUUGCUAUUAGCUUCACUGACAGAGGGUAGUACUGGAGACAAAUGAGCAGCCAAGCUCUCUAAGUGUAACAUCAAUAAAGAGACAUUAAUAACCCUCUCAUACUAUCAGUGCCACGGGAGUGCACUGAUGACCUUUGAAUGAAAUAUGUUUUAAUAAUCAUAGAUACAUGCAGGGCCAAAGAGAUGUCAGGAAAAAGUGGGCUAAUGAUUGAAUAUAGUGUCUAUAAGGUUCUUUUUUUUAAACUUAAAUUUUAUUAGCAUUUUUUAAACAUAAAAAAAACAAGAUAUACGGGCAAUCAGAGAAAGAUAUGAAUAAAAACAAACAAACACAAAACAUAAUGGUGUCAUUCACAGAGAAGAAAAGAAAAUUGUCCAUGUAGCCUUCAUCAAAGUUGUCCAUUUUUUUAAAGUAAUGUGAAUAGAUUUAUAUUUGUUCCAUUUAGUUAUUUAGUUCCAUCUGUAAAGUUCUGAUGUACAUUUCAAAUAUCACAGUUAAGACAUUUGAGUGUGUCAGUUUUGUUUCUGCACCUCUGAGCUGAAGAAGUGUCAUCUUCACUCUUUUAGCUAGAGUCAUUGUCGUGUUACCACAGACGAUGCAUGAUGCAUACCACAUGCCCUGAGAUUCUGCAGCAUAUAAAAUCUCUCCAUUAUCCUAAACCAGGAUUUACAUAAUUACACACAGCAGCAGAAAUCCCGCUUUUGUAUACAUAACCCUCUACAGAGUGGCAUUCUUCAUUCAUAGACAAAAUAUUCAUAGAUUUUGCAGGAGCAGUAGGAAGCAAAAACAUCAUUGUAGGGGUUUCACUCUCAUUCAGGCAGGGAACCCUCACAAUGACACAGACUGCAGCAUAAUGUGAUCGGCAGGUAUCCUCUGAUCCAGAAAAGUCCUGAAACACUUGUUACCAAGUCCUGCUCAUGACUCCAUCAGCCCUGGACAUGGGAUCUCAGUUUGAACACCCGCACCAGCAGCAGUUUGAGGAUAUUUCCUUCUUUCCAUUUAUCACAGGAGUUUCGCCUCUCUUUUUGUCACUCUUUAAAGAUGGACACUGCAUUUGUUGUUGUUGUUGUUUUUAUAUCAUUUUUCAACAAUAACUUAAAAGAUCUGAGCAAGUUUUUUAUGAACCCACGCUCCCCAAAUGUGAUAUCAAAGUAAAAGGUGAUCUAAAUGUUAAAUGGAAACUGUGGUUCCUUGAAAACAAUACAACAGGAUCAUUUGGCAUAGGAGUUUUAAAAAGUUGGAAGUGAAAGAGUAAAGAAAAAGAUUGUCUUUUUGGUAGAAAAAAAAGGGAUUGUCUUUGUUCAAUUGCACUGAUGCUUUUUUUCUUGGCGCUGUCUUAGAUUUUUACUGCCUUUAUUCUCUGUGUUGUUAUAUUCAGUCCUUAAAAUGAAAUGCCCCCAAACUCAAUAGCCUAAAAAGAGUAAACACCCUCCCUCUCUGUCUUGUGUUUUUGGCAUAAAUCUGACUAUGUUCUCUCAUUUCCCUAAAAAGAGUUUUGGAGGAUUUCACAUCUGCAGCAGCUCACCUCUUUAAUUUUCCUGGUCAAUUUAAUUAGAAGAUAACAAACUACUUCAUUUCACUUAACUCUCCCACAGCCGGUUGCUUCUAUCUAUAUCUCUAUUUUACAACUGACUAUUACUUCUAAAUUAUGUCCUUCCUUCAAUUAAGUCACAUAUUCACUCUCACUGCAACAAUCUGAAUUUCUUUAAUGCCCAUUACCCUUAUAUUCCUAUCUAAAACAUACUUUAGCUAUGUGGUUAACCUCAUAAUGUGUCUCACUAAAUCUGUUGUGGUCCAUUAAACCAGAGUUUCACAGGUUCAGUGAGCACCGAGGGCACUCUGACACCUUCCAACCACUGAGGUGACAAGAGCAGAAACACAUGCCAAAUGUGUGAGAUAAGGCGAAAGGGUGCAAGUGGAGAGAGAUGGAAAUGGAUGAACAGAUUGCGCUGUAAAAAGAAAAAAAAAUACAAAAACUGUUAUUUUAUCAUCAACCUGCUCACUCUCACUCCACUUGUUUUCUUUUUAUUGUUUCUGUGACUAAAAUCUACAGUUCGGUUUUUAUUUCAGAGACCAGACUGUUGAGACAGUUUAUUAAAAUAAAAAAGAAAAAAAGAAAAACUGGGGUUGUACGCCACAGAACAGUGUGUGUAUAUGUACUUAAAUGCUAUGACAUUUUCCAUCCAAGCCCCCCGAGGCUUAAGAGCUCUCUCUCCCUCUUAAAGCUAAGGAAAUAAAAGCCUCGUAGACAUUUAGUCUGACCUCCCUCAGCUGCUUCUUUUCACAGUUACUUUCAUUUGUCCCCUCUUCACCCACUCCCCUCAUUUCUUGAAGGCAGGUCCAUUAACCUGACGUUAAUAACAGUAGGGAGUGACACAACUGCAUAUUACAGUUCGGCCUCUGUUAUGUCAUAAAUACCCAUUUUCCCAUGGCUGUCAUAUUUAAUGGACGCUAUGGUCAUCAUAAACAUAUAUAAUUUUUUACUGCUCCAUAAUGAUACUGUAUCAUAAUUAUUAUUAUUAUUAGAAUUAUUUGUUUAAUAUAGAUACAGCGUUGUUCUCUGCUGUCACUUCUCAGUUUGUGUCUGCAGGUAUAAUUGAAAAUGCUGAAGUACUGCCCAAGGCUGAUAACCAAAGUCAAGCCUCAGUACCCCUCAAGCAGAACACACGCCACAAGACAAUGGGGCUGAUUGGGAGUCCAAUUCCCCAGUCUGUAAAGAAAAUCAACAAAGUCUAGACUUUCUGAUGAUUAUCAAGUUCCUCUUGCCAGAUUUAUUUGUGGUGGGGUGUAUCUUAAGAGUGGGUUCACCACACCCAGUCUGCUGGGAAGAUGAUUGUGGCUGCGCUGAUUUGAAAUUGUUAAUAUCAAACGUUCGAUGUUCACGAUCAGAAAACCUCUCGAGUCAGGGGAAUGUUGAAGACAGCCGAGCACACACCAUGUAGAUUGUCACAUGAAAAGAAAUAAUCAAGUGAAGGGGGAAGGAAGGAAGCUGGCUGAAGAAGGAAUCACAUCAAAUGCAGCCAUGAUAACAAUAGUGAGUGAGAAUCGUAAACAUCAGAAAUGGAGGACCAACUCCACAUUUCCAAUAUUCAUAAUAAGAUUUUAAAAUACUCUUCGUGUGGACCAGCUAUCCUGUUGGGUUUCAUUUCAUAUUGUGAGGUUAUAGUUCUGCUGGAGAAAAUGAAAAACUUGUGCUGAUGAUUAUAUGGUAAUCACUUAUUCCUGUAAAUGUAACAGGGUCAAAUAUGUGCCAGCGUCUUUCAUAGUUUCGAUUUUACUGUUACACAAAACAUGCAAUUGUCAUUGUAUAACAAGGAGAACCAGAACUUCAUAAUUUGGUGAUGUGUGUUCCAGGGAAGACCUUGCAUGUUUCUGCAAGACAAUGCCUAAAGAAGAGACAUCAUUUUAUAAAGCAUCUACGCUUUUUGGAAUAGGGGUUGUGGAUGUUAUAGACAACAUGAUAGUACUUGUAUACUGUAGAUCACAGUGUUCUUAAACAGAAAAAUCAUAAAAGCUUUCAUGUUAUGCAGAUGAUGCUCUUCUGUAUAUGUCUGGCAAAUUGGGCAAGUGUCAGUUGAUUCUUUCAUAAUUAUCUCCAUAGCCCACUAACAAAAAUCAACGGGUUUUCUUGUAUUUAAGUAAUGAUUUCACAGGGACAGUGCUAGGUUUCUUGUGAUACUGCUUAUAGUUGCUAGAAAUGAAGGGUCUCUUAAGUUAUCUAUUUAAAUCCACAGCUUUAACACAGAUACCACCUAGUAAAAUGUGCAAAAAGCAGUUCUGCAACUGGGCUCGUGUCUGUGGGUUUUCUCUGUAAUAUAAAAUAUGAAAAGCAGAUAACUUACUGUCAAUGAAAUGGCAGAGUCAACAUUAAAUUUAGAUUUAGUAUUUGAAUUGAGAUUACAGAUUUAGAUGUAGGUAUAUAUUUAGGCUUCAGGAAUCUAGAUUGCACUUUGUGAGCAAUUGGCUGUUGUGUUGUACCUUAACCCACAUUAAUAAAAACAUCGUAAAACUUAAACUACCAGUCAGGGGAAAAGAGGAGUUAGAAACCCAGUUGUGUGUUUAUUCAGUGGUACUGAAACUCUCACUGAUUCAGCAGAGAUUCACGCUGUUUCAAAGGAUGAGUUGUGAUGGAAAAGAGUACGGCCAGCAGUGCUUGAUAAUAUUCUCAGCCGGUACUUUACACCACUCAACCUUGACUCAGGAGGGGAUGUCUCCAUGACUGUGACAAGGAAAGAGAAAGUUUUUGAUAUUGAACCUCUUAUUUGAAAUUUUCCAAAUAACCUGAUGGUGCAGAGGGAAGGCAAUAUUGUUAAAUGUUUUCAUGCUGUCUUUAUGCUCCAUUGGCUUGUGAAAAUGAGCUACAGAAGACCGGAUAGGUUUUCUUUUUAAAAUGAAGGCUUCCUGAGUUCCCGCUCUAUGUAUGGCUGAACCUACUCUUUCCAUUGUCUAUUUCCAAAUAUUAGUAGUAUUUCCACAUAAAAUUGGCUCAAGGGAUGGAAAGCAGGGAUGACCGGAUGACCCCCCUUAACUCGAGUACUGAGCAUACUUCUGUAUUGUACCUGUAACUUUUUAUCUUCAGUUAAUUGGUCAUAGUAUAUUCUUUCCCGAUAUGUUGUAAAGUCAGUAUGCAGAAUAGCAAGGAAAUCAAGUUACAAAAUACACAUAGUGGAGGGAAAAAAACGUCAUUGACCUCUGAAUUUCGGUUAAGAAGAACUGUAAAGCAGUAUGAACAGAAGAAAUGACCGAGCUUGUUGUUACCUUCCAUUACUUAAUUGCUAUUACUAAUCUCAUGACAUUUUAAAAGCAGUUAUCACUACAAAGGUGGGAAUAUUAUUGAAGUGGCAGACGGCUGGCAUUAAUAACAAAAGACAUGUACAAUGAUUGACGCAAAGUGGUGAGUUACAUAUGCUGUCAGACCCACAGUGUAGAUCUGUCAAUCUAAGGCUCCUUCUUUCUAUGCUGACAUUUAGUUAGCUGUAGUCCACAGUAGUCUCUGGUGAAUAAUUCAAUAAAGUAGGAAAGAUUCUUACAACUCUAAAUUGGCUGGGAAUACUAGUCCAUUAGAAAAAUCCCACCAUGUCCACCUUUUAUAGACCCUUGAGACAAUUUUAUCUUAUUAAUAUUGUUAGGGAAAGUAAUCAUUUGGAUUGCCUCAUCAUAUUAAAUAACAAAACAGGCCCCCAUUCGACCCACCCUCAUGUCAGUUGGUGAAACAAUCAGUCAGUCAAACAUAUUAGCCUGACUGAACUUGCACAAAAUCGAACUUCUCAUAGUUGGACUAACAUACAUGCUUGAAUAGACAUAAAGGAGGUGGACAUGCUUCUGUCAAUAAUUCGACUUUGACCCAGUGCUUGUAUACCCGACACAGACAGUAGUCCAGAUAAUUUGCCUAAAUGAAGCUAUGAUCAUAGCCCAACUUAACUGUGUAUGUAAACGUACUGAGUGCCCCCUGAAACCAAAGGUUCAUUUAGAUAUGUUAUUGGUAUUAUCGGAUAAAAAACAAACUACAAGGACUGAAACCAUAUGAUUUAGAAAUACUCCAAAGAUAUUUGCUCACUCAAAGCUGGCCCAAUGGGGCCCUAAGCAAAGUUUGAUUUUCGGUCCCUCUCUUUCUGCCAAUAAUAUCUCUUUAAUUAACAUUCCAUGACAUGAAAACAUACCUUUGUCAUGGCAUUUUUUCUCUUCUUCCUCUUUCUUUUUUCUGCUCCCGAAGGAUAUGUCCUUUUUUGCGAUAUUGUUUUUGCUCUUUGGAUGCUCAGUGCACAUUGCACAGCAUGAGGCAUAUAACAGUAGCAGAGCUUUGACAUAUCGGCAGUAAGAAUCAUAGGCCUACAUCAGCAGCAGCACUAAUGAUAUUAUAUAUAAUAUAAAUAUAUUUGAUCAUACAGAAAGCAUCACAUAUACACUUCACUUUUGGAGAAAUAUCUCGUCAUCCAUUUCAUAUGCACGAACUCAAAGUGGAUGGUUUUGAUAGAUUGUAUUAAGCAGGUCUGAUAUGUCAAAGGGACCAAACUAUGAACAGUGACCAUAUAUCAGAAAAAGGCUGCAAAUAUCUUCUGAAAAAAAUUGAUUUUUUGUUGAUUCAGGCAUAUUUCUCCCUGCCAGUGGCGGUGUGAUUUUGUUCCAUUACUGUUUAUCUUUACAAGUCAUUGCAGUCCAAAUGCAGCCUAAAAAUGCCCCCAACCAUGUUAACAUUAUCAUUCAUAUGUAGUCCUCUCUCUGGUAUCCUCUCCAUCCCUAUUGUGUGUACGUGCAUAUCUCAUUCUUAUGUCAGCCCCCCACACACAGUCCAUUACAGUAUUUCUCUUUCUUGCCCUCUGUCCAUUCCCACAAGGCUGCAUACAUAGCAGGCUGUCGAGAGGAUCUGCUUCGUAUGCAGCAUGGAUGUAGCAGGGGUUUCAUUCAUGUGAUUUCGUGGCUCGUGUGUUCGAUGAGGGUGUUCAGCACAGGGCUUGUUUUUCCUGCAUAUGGCCCAUUAAGAAAAACACACUAAUUGGAGACUUUUUUUUUUGUACAUGUGUGACCAACACUAAGUGUUUGAUUUAUUCUGCACACAUGGCAUGUAUGAUUUAUCGCUGUGGUGGGUGUUACAAAACUAGUUAAAUGUUGACUGAUAAUCAAAGAUGCAGGUUCAGUGGAGCAUUGGAGAAAACACAAUGUCUGUUUGAUUAAAUGACAAUAGCCUGCUGGGGAUGUGUUGUUGCACAAAAGCCUUCUCACAGAGCAGGCUGUUAUUUGUGAAUACAGAAACCACCGUCCUUUCCCUGUGGCUUUGCCUAAUAUCCUAUUAGUGAAGGACACAAUCAAUGUGGUUUGAGCUAAUAAUUGGAUUUCACUGGGUGUUUUUCACCUGCGGCAAGAAGGAGAAGAACUAAAACAUGAAACAUGACAAGCAUCAGUCUGCUCAAUUUACUAUUCUUUGCAGUAUGAUUGGAUCCCUGGUCUGAUAACCCAUGACUCUAAAACCCUGCAGAGGUUGGUAAGGGUAAUUACCAUGAGCCUCCCAAGGCAUUAAUAUAAGCAUGAGAGAUCUUUUAAGGCAGACAGCGUGGGUGUGUGUGCAGGUGUGUACACAUGAUCUAUAGAUCAUUAUCAGAUCCAUAAUCAACUUACUCUGAAGGCCCAGAACAACAAUGUGUAUCAUUGAAAGCAAAGGAAGCAAACACAACUGAUGGUGUCACUGUUGGUUUUGGUUACAGACUGUGUCAGCAAGUGUAGUUAAGAAUGAUGGAGGGGACAAGGAAGACCAAGAGUAAGACAUAAAGAGAAGACAAAUAACUUAGAAGACAAACACAGCAGAGGACACACAAAGCCAUAGAUGAUGGAAUUGCUAUAAAGUGUUGAGGCUGACCGAACAUGCCAAAAGCUAAAAAAGCAAGAAUACAGCCUGGUUCAAGAAAGGGUGUUGGUCUAAUAGCUCGGGCUCUUGCUGUUCAGGAAGAGACUUUUAAUCUACAAAAGCUCCAGGAGGUAUUGAUUUGAAGGAUAAAAAGAUGCUUAUUACUUUGAUGGAUACCGUCCGAGGCCAUGGUCCUCAGUCGGAAAAAGGUAGAUUGCCUUCUUCGAGUUGGAGGGGUUCAAGUAUCUCGGGAUCUUGUUUAUGAGUGAGGCUAGGAUGGAGCGGGAGAUCAGCAGGCGGAUCGGCGUCAGCAGGGAUGCGGACGCUUAAACGAUCUGUUGUGGUAAAGAAAGAACUGAGCUGUAAAGCGAGACUCUUGAUUUACCAGUCAAUCCACAGUACAGGCCAAAAGUUUGGACACACCUUCUCAUUCAAUGUCUUUUCUUUUUUUUUUUAUAUGACUAUUUACAUUGUAGAUUAUUACUGAAGGCAUUAAAACUAUGAAUGAACUCAUGUAGAAUUUUGUACUUAUAAAAAAAGUGUGAAAUAACCGAAAACAUGUUUUAUAUUCUAGUUUCUUUAAAAUAGCCACCCUUUGCUCUUGAUGACAGAAGUACCUUGUCAGGGUUACUUCAGGCACUCCUGAGAAGUAAAAACCAUUUCAGGUGACUACCUCAUGAAGCUCAUUGGGAGAACAGCAAAAGUUUGCAGCGCUAUCAAAAAAGCAAAGGGUGGCUACUUUGAGAAAUCUAAAAUACAAAACAUGUUUUCAGUUAUUUCACACUUUUUUCUUAAGCACAUGAUUCCACAUGUGUUCAUUCAUAGUUUUGAGAAUCUACAUUGAAUGAGAAGGUGUGUCCAAACUUUUGGCCUGUACUGUAUGUGCCGAUCCUCACCUAUGGUCAUGAACUUUGGGUAAUGACCGAAAGAACAAGAUCGCAGAUAUAAUGGGUUUCCUUCGCAGGGUAGCCAGGCUCACUCUCAGAGAUAGGGUAAGGAGCUAGGACACUCGGGAGGCGCUCAGAGUAGAACCGCUGCUCCUCCACGUCGAGAGGUUAGGAUGCCUUCUGGACGCCUCCCGUUAGAGGCGUUCCAGACAUGUCCCAACGGGAGGAGACCUCGUGGCCGGCCCAGGACCAGGUGGAGGGAUUAUAUCUCUCGCCUGGCCUGGGAGCGCCUGGGAAUCCCCCCGGAGGAGCUGGUGGAAGUGGCUGGGGUGAGGGCCGUCUGGGCUUCCCUCCUGAAGCUGCCGCCCCCGUAACCCGGACCCAGAUAAGCGGAAGAAAAUGACGACGACGAUGGAUACUGUUAUUAAUUAAUGGAAUAAAAUCAAAGUGAAAUUAAAAUAAAAUAAGUUGAAACAUUUCAUAUAUAUAACCUAUUUGACUUAUGGGUAGUUGAUCAAUGCACAGUAGAAAUGUGCUGGGUUGUCCAAACACAGUGUUUACCACAGAGAAAUUACACAGUGAGAUGCUGCAUGGAGAAAAACCCAAAACAGAAUAGCUCACUUCUCUUUGGGUGAUUGAUUUUAAAAGUCACCAGUUUUGACCAGUUAGUUUCGUUGUGAGUUUUGCACAAUCAGGGGCUUGGCUGACUAGAUGGACAGGUGGGGACAUCAUAGCUGUUAGCUUGGAUACCUAAAAGCCUGUCUCCAGGUUAAAUGUGAGUUAGGCUGAGUUGGCAUUUUCAGGGUGGGAACGUCGUCAUUAGGUUUCAAAACUUAAGAAACCAGUGGGGGACUUCACCGAAACUGUGUCCAUGUUUUAUAUAGUCUGUGGUUUGGACAUCUGAGAACACAACAAUCCCACUCUGAUGCAGAACAAAACAAGCAAGCCAAGAGCCUCAAGAGGAGGUGAUCAUGUCUUGCUUCCAACUGAACACUGGAAGAGGGAUCCUCGUCUAGGAGAAGACACACAAGACAAUGAUAACGAAUACAAAACACAGAUGAAGAUAAAUGAGAAGACACAAAGACGAAGGGGAAGACAUUGAAGACGACAAAGUAGAAGUGGAGACAGCAAUGAAUGACAAAGACACAGGAAGAAGAUAAAGACGACAUACAGAUGAUGAAUCAAAAAAUGAAGACAGAAAAGUCCAAACAAGAUAAAUGAGGAAAAAACAAGGAAGAUAUAAAAAGAGGACAUGACAAAACAGACAACAGAUGAGACAAAGACGAUGAUAAGGAACACAAGGGAGAGGAAGACAGAGAUGAGGAUGAAGAUGUGAUAACAUUUUCUGUCACAGACAUUUCUUCACUCUCCUUUCUGUCCCAGGUAUUUUUCUUCCUGUCUAAUUUCCAAAGGAUUACACAAGAUGGAAUCAGCCAUUGAGCUGACAGCCUUCCUACACAAAAUCACAGCCAGGGGAAUUCAGUCUUUGACACAGUGACAAUAAUUCUUCAGUGGGCUUACAAUUUGCAAGUAAAAGUAACAAGGACGAGGAAUUUAAUCUGGGGGUGAAAUUCAGAAGCUAGUGGGAAAACCAAAGCUUUGCUGUAACGGAGAACGAGUGGACACAAAAAACAAGCCGCUCAUGUCUUUCCUGUGGAGCUGUCUAAAAUGAUUAAUAUCUUACAGAGCUUGAUUGAGACUGACUGCAAGUAGAUUUAUUAACCCUUAGCUGACCUUCACCACACUCACUCUUCAAUUUAUUAAGGCAGUUCUUCCUUUGACUUUACUCUGGGGACAAAUUCAAGUGUCAGCAGUAUCAACACAUCGACAGGCUGUGUGCUUGUUGAACCUGUGCGUGAAGUUUAUUUAUUAGCACAUAUCACCACAGGGGAACAAUAUGCUCCGUUAUAAUUUCACUUAAAGACACAAGAUUUUUAUUGAAAUCUCAGCAUGACUUCAAUUUUAGAGCUUAUUUGUAUGACCAAGAUAUUUGAAACACAAAGCUUUUCCAAUCAAUAACUGAGUAUAAAGCUUUGGUUGAGGUUCAGAGGAUGGAGCGCAUGAAGGAAUAGCAGAAUGAUGUGUCAAACUGAAUUUUUUUUCUAUGUAUGAGCCCUCUGCUAUGUCGUCCAAUGUUGCAAUCUGCUUGAACAACCUGCUGACUGUACAUCAUUCUUUUUACCGGAUUUGUGCUGUUUUCAUCUGAGGUUGGAUUUCUCUAAAAAAUGACUCCUCCAGAACCCUUUUUUCAUUGACACCGAGUCAUUUUUUCCACUUUGAACAUAUCACAAAUAAAUAUUUCACAAUUUUCCAAUUACCUCCUACUCUGAAAAGUUUGAAAAAGUUGAAAACCUUAACAUCAGAGGAGCCAGAAUUCAAAGUCAUGUCUCUGUGCAUGAGCAACUAGGGCACUGUUUCUCGCUUCUUGAGCGGGGGCCUCCUUUCUCACAGCAGCAUGUUGCAGCAGGAGAUCUCCGCUGCAUUAAUUAUAUGGGAACAUUUUGACAGCAGCUGCAAGAACACCCUGUUUGCAAAAACAAACAAAUUGCAUCUCAAAGAGUGAAAAGUCACAGUAACCUUAGAUUUAUUAGUUUGUCAGAUUGCUCUUAUGUCCCCAAACCCACACAGACACACACAUGCCGACAAGGAGGGUUCAAAGCUUUUGUGGAUACAGAAAAAGAGUAUCUCAAAAGCAAACUAGAGCCUGAAUGAAUGUUUGUGUUAGGACUCAUUCAGUCGCGUAGAGAUCUGUGAAAGCACCUCCAGCAAGGGCAGCUUAACAUUGUGUAAACACGACUAAUUGGGUUUUUGUGUUAAAAUGUAAUCAUGAGCGGCUAAAGAACUUAGUCUCAGCAAAGAGGUUUAUUAACUUCAAAGCCUUUGUUGUUGCCCCUGAAAUGUGGCACUGGCUGCUGACACAAAAAGGAAGAAAAAACGUGAUUGAAACAUGUUUUCACUGCGCACAAGCAAGCAGCUGAAAAUUCAAGCGGAGCAAACAAAACAAAACAAAACAAAACAAAACACACAAGUCUUCUUACAGGCGAUUUUAGUCUUGUUGAAAAGGUUCAGACUCUGUGUCUUCAGCACUGCUCUGCUGAACCAGAGACUCUCAGAGCUACCAGCACCUCUCUCAGUGAAGCAGAGAUCCCUCUUAGUCUCCUGUAUGUCACUGUGAUGACGCUCCUUUUUAUUUCAUUCAGGGACUGUAGUUUCCAUGUACAAAUGUUCUAUCAAUAAAACACAAACUAUCUAAAUGAAUAUGAUGAUGAUUACCAUGAUAAAGACAAUGCCAUGCUUUUAUUUACAAGGUCAAUAUGAUAGUGAUGUUUUAUAGAGAUGACAAUGACACAACAAUGUUAAAGAUGAUGAUGGUGAUUAUGAUUAUUAUAAUGGUUAUAACAAUGACACAAUGAUUGUUUGGUAGAAGUAAUAAAGAUAUAACAGUUAUGAUAUUGACAGUGUCUAAUGAUGAUUAUCAUAAUGAUAGUACUAUAUACAACAGUGAUAAUGUAAUAGUGAUGCAAUGACUUAACAUAAGGAAUUAUGUUACCUUCCUCCUGUGUUAGUUUUUACUACGCACCCAGCAUGUAAAGGGUCGGUUUUUGACCUGUGUCUUAAAUCUGCUGUAAAUUACAUUAAAAACAAUUCUCUAUCAUCCAGUUUGGUUCUCAUCUCUAGGUUACCUUGUGAGGCUUCAUUAUCCAUGAAAAUAUUGUUUAUACCUUUUGUUGUGGUCCUCUGGGCCUUUCUUUGUCAGCAUACCCCUCAUACAGACAUCUAUAAUGGACUUAUCUCACAUGUCUGGACAUGCCCGACGUUGUUGUUUUUUGUGCAGGAAGAAAACAUGUCAAAAUGAGAAUUUCAUAAAUCUCACAUGAUCGGAAGAGGAUCUGACUGUGGUGCCUGAUUGUUCAUUUGUAAUUUCGGUUUUUGCCCUAAUUAUUAGAUAUUGCUCUAACCGAGUCAACAGCAACCCUAACACAACAAGUGCCAUAAUUUUAAUAAAAGCAUUUUAUAAUUUAGUCUAUUUAAUUUUUUUGUUUUUAUUUUGUUGGAAUAGAGGUUCCUGACAAAGUCAUAAAGUCUUAAUGCAAAAAGCUAAUUUAAGUGGUUCUUUUAAGCAUUUAAAUCAAAAAUGGGUCGGUGCAGACCCUAACACAGGAGGAGGGUUAAUGAUAACUAUUACAUCAUUUUCAUGACUUUUAUGAUGAUAAAGAAAAUCAUUAUACUGAUCCUGAUUAUUAUUGUAAAUGUCAUGACUAUGAUACAAGUUUAUUAUUGGUACAAAUGUUAUUGAAAAAAUGUAAACAAUCAUUUUAUUAAAUUAUGAAAAUUGAGUUAUAAAUUAAUAUUGAGAAUUGUGAAAAACUAUUUUUUACACCUUAUUUUAUAUAAAGAUAAGGAAUAUUUUUAGUUUUAAUGCAUAUCAAAAUGAAGGAAUAAAGUACUCGUAAGAUAAAUCACAUUUUUAUCUUUUUGUUCCUUAGGUUGUGACAGCUACCACGAUCAACCUCUUAGAAGUCUGAAACAAAGGGAAAAGAAAAAGCUUGAAUGGCGCUGCUGUUCCCUUGCAUCAAAAGGAGCCAACUGAGGUGCUUCAGCCAUCUGAUUGAGAUGCCUCGGGCACCUUGUCUUUAAGGGUCUCCUGGGCCUGUGCAGCUUCGAGGAGAUCUUUAUAAGGUAAACCCUGCCCUUUGCAGGAGGAAAUAUUAAGUUUAUCUCCUCUGACCUAAGAAGAAAAAAAUGGUAUUCUCCAAAGGGACUGGAAAAUAUUGCAGGAAAGAGGGGCUAAAGGUUUUAUUUCUUAACCUGUUGUUAUCACAACCUGACCCCAGGUAAGAAGAAGAAACUGGGUGGAUAAAUGAACAGGCAAAGAACAUGAUCUGUCUGCUCUUCUCAUCCCACUCUAUUCUAGUCCAGCCUAUUUCUGCAGACCUUGUGACCGACCUGCAGACAGACAGCCAAGACAAAUGAGGAAAACGCUCUCAGACAACUCAGGUUGCUAAAGCGGUCUGCUUUCGGGGGGUAAAUUGGUGCUUUGUUUGUUCUACAGGGUGUAGGAUUGGAGCAAAUCUGAUUCUAGUGACUGGGAGAUAAAAACAGAAUGAAAUCUUUUCCGAGGAUCUCAGUCGAUGAGCGGAAAGGAGGUGGGAAGGGGGUAAUCAGGCAAAUCAAUAGUUGCAGUUUCAGGAGAGACAAGUGGCAGAAAGCAUGUUUAUCAGACACCAAAGGGUAAACUGAUCCUGAAACGGCUCGUGGAAAAUCCAGGUAAAGAGAGAAAACAUCAUCACACAAAGUUUUAAACCUCAACUCCUGCUCUCCGUCUUUGAUGUGUGACACUUUGCCUUUUUUUUUUUCUUAAAUCUCUGUUUAGGUGUCUGGAUGGCUGCAGGAUAUGACUUGAAUACUUCCCAAAGCAGGUCUUUGGACUUCUUAUGCCCCUCUCCCUCCACUGGUGAGGGUC